Molecule: ribosomal RNA, 531 nt
Filed under: Triticum aestivum (bread wheat)
Lineage: Eukaryota; Viridiplantae; Streptophyta; Magnoliopsida; Poales; Poaceae
Description: partial small subunit ribosomal RNA
Source: RNAcentral
AUGAUUGGCGGGGCGGGGCGGCCGCGGCAUGGCGGUGCGGUGGCGCGGCCGCGACGCAGGUUUGAAGUCGCUGGUGGCGAGGAGGAGGGGGAGGCCACGACGGCGGCGGCGGCGAGCGCGGGGUGCAGCUGCCGGUCGUGCGCGGCGGUGGCGGUGGCGGACUGCGUGGCGCUCGCGUGCUGCCCCUGCGCGGUGGUCAGCCUGCUCGGCCUGGCGCUCGUCAGGGCGCCGCUCGCCGUCGGCAGGCUGGUGAUCAGGGCCAGGCGGAGGCGGCGGGCGCUGCUGCGCGGCAAGCUGGUGCGCGACGUGGCCGCCCACGCCGCCCCGGCGCCGAGCGACGGCGGUGGCGCCCACGAGAAGGGCGCCGAGAAGGAGGCCGACGUCCGCACCGGCGUGGACGCCACGGGCGGCGAGGUUGGGACGGCGCGAGACGUCGAUGAUCACGAGGCGGAGCUGGCGUGGCUGGAGGAGAUGUACCGGACGGGGCGCUGGGGCUUCGGCCGCGUCUCCUUCUCGGCCAAAACCCCGUGA